Peniophora sp. CONT is the source of this 91-nucleotide non-coding RNA. The record is from Rfam. NCBI's taxonomy places the organism in Eukaryota, Fungi, Basidiomycota, Agaricomycetes, Russulales, Peniophoraceae.
CCUCCGGUAGCUCAGCGGCAGAGCGCAAGAUACAUAUUGGUCAACGUAGAAGUUUCAUCUUGAGACGCUGGUUCGAGUCCAGCUCGGAGGA